Non-coding RNA from Schizosaccharomyces pombe (fission yeast), 1325 nucleotides. The record is from the annotation of a GenBank genome assembly. Lineage: Eukaryota; Fungi; Ascomycota; Schizosaccharomycetes; Schizosaccharomycetales; Schizosaccharomycetaceae.
ACUAUACAAAAACUUUUUAACUACACGAAAAACUAAACGACUUGAGCUUUCUCUUCUAAAUCCUUUAUCCUUUCUUGAAUUAUAUCCAAUGCAUGUUUGCUUUGCAUUGACUUAUUUUCACAUUCCACUACAGCUUCAUUCGUAUUGGAAUUGAUCGGCAAACGAAUAGUUAUUUUUUGAUCGCAUACAGCCUCAUUCAUAAUAGAUUCGUCUUUUUCCAUGCAUAUGACCAGAUGAGCACUAGCGAUUGCAGAAGCUAGGUUAUCAGCUGAAAUUAAAGAAAGUGCAAUUCCGUGGCACAAAAACUUCUCAUGAAUAUCGUCUAGCUGCUUGCAAAUAUCUUCCUCUUCACUUACUGCAAAGAUUUUUGUGAAAUGAAGCCUACUUAGUUGCUUUAAAAUAUUGGACGCUAAUAAAGACUCCAAAAAACUGGGCAAAUCUACAAAAGAUAUAACCAAUGAUUUUUCUUUUUCUAAAGUAGGGCAGACCGAUGAAGCAUCCGAAUGCUUGUAUUCGAUCUCAAAUGCCUUCUUCAAGUCUUCAUAAGUUUUAGCAGUCUGAGCGAGUUGUCGAACAUUUUUCCGAAAUGAACCCUGCAUGAUUUGAUUUAAACAAUAUUUAGUAUUCCCAAAAUUAUUAUCAACCUCAAGAGCCUAUCAACAAUUAGUAAUGAAUAAACAAGCAAAGUACAAACCAUUUUCAAAAACUCCUCGGCAACCUUAAAACUAGAAAGUGGGCCCUCUAUUCGAAAACAGGAUACGUUCCUUUCAGCAGCUCUGGCGAUAAGCACACCGUCGACUCCAUAUUUCUCAAUAACAUCCAAUCCAUCAUUAUAGCUUAAGACAUCCCCAUUUACUAAGAUCGAAACAUCUUUAUUUCGACAGACGCCUACAAUUUCCGAUAAAUAACUACGAUCUGCAGGCUCAGUAUUUCGCAUUGGAGUUGUACGGCAAUGAACAGUGAUUGCUCGAACUCCUGUAUCGCAUAUGCGCUCUACCAAUUUUAGGGUAUCUUCUUUUGUCUCUAAUAAACGAAUUUUACAACUUAUGGAAAUUUUGUAAGGCUUCCCGAUCUCAUUCACUAGAGCAUCGAGAAUACUGACUAGACGAUCUUGAUUUUUCAAAAGGCCAGCUCCCAUUCCAGCAUGUACAGAAAAAUGUUUGGGGCAACCACAGUUUAAGUCAAUGCCUGCAACAUCAUUAGCUACAAGUUUUGCUGCUUCCACUGCAAGUUCUGGGGAUGCACUUCCGAGUUGAAAAAUCAAUCGAUUAGCUUCAAGCGGAUGCACACGAAACAACACCUUAUUGCUAGGUGGUUUAACAAAA